CAAAACCACUCUCGGCAACGGAUAUCUCGGCUCUUGCAUCCAUGAAGAACGUAGCGAAAUGCGAUACGUGGUGUGAAUUGCAUAAUCCCGUGAACCAUCCAGUUUUUGAACCCAAAUUGCGCCCAAGGACUUUUGGUUGAGGGCACGUCUGCCUGGG
This 157-nucleotide ribosomal RNA is filed under the name Garcinia xanthochymus (false mangosteen). RNAcentral describes it as "5.8S ribosomal RNA". It matches the Rfam family "5.8S ribosomal RNA". From Rfam's summary of the family: 5.8S ribosomal RNA (5.8S rRNA) is a component of the large subunit of the eukaryotic ribosome. It is transcribed by RNA polymerase I as part of the 45S precursor that also contains 18S and 28S rRNA. Functionally, it is thought that 5.8S rRNA may be involved in ribosome translocation. Lineage: Eukaryota; Viridiplantae; Streptophyta; Magnoliopsida; Malpighiales; Clusiaceae. The record is from RNAcentral.